Callorhinus ursinus (northern fur seal) is the source of this 3504-nucleotide long non-coding RNA. RefSeq lists it as uncharacterized. NCBI's taxonomy places the organism in Eukaryota, Metazoa, Chordata, Mammalia, Carnivora, Otariidae. The record is from RefSeq and is a predicted model, not a curated record.
GCACCAGAAGGUAAGGAAGCCAGGAAAUUGCUUUGAUGAUGCCGUUGUGAUAUGCCAGUUAUUAAGACUGAAUCACAUGUAAUUCCAAUAUUCUACCACUUUUGACCUAUAACAUCAUUAGAUUCAUUCACGUUUGAGGUGAUGGUAGGGUGUCCAAAUGGAGAGGUCUGGUAAGUAAACGAAGACGGAGGACACAGAUUUUCUGAGAGUAAAGUAUUAGAGAAAAAUGUGAGUAUCUAGAUAAAAGUAGGUACUUUCCAUUCUGUAUUUCCUGGAUGAUUUCAUUUCCUUUCAAGGUUGAAGCUGUCACUUGCUAAAGGCUUUAACCACCACAUUUAUUUCUAAGCUCCACACUCUUAUAUUCAACUGCUCACGGGACCUCUGCCUUCAGAUAUCCCAAUGGACUCUUCCAACUCAUGUCCAAAUAGGUGAAAAUCCUAUUCUUCAAAGCAGGUGGACUUAGCCAAAGAAGAACCCUUGAGUGAUGGAGAGGCCUUGCUUAUUGUGAUGUCUGCUCUUACCAGAAGUGAGAAUGGAAAGCUGUAAAUCAUAUGUACUCUUCCUCUAGAAGCAAACUUUCCUGCUGUGUUGGGCAGACCCAACAGGCAAAUCCACUUUGCCAGCAGUAAUACCACCAUCCAGAUCCUGAUGAACCUCUAGGAAAAAAAAAAAAGAGAUUCUUUUGUCAGACACAGAUCCUGAGGUUUUUCCUCCAGUGCAGUCAGAUGAAAGAGAGGACUCCUCUCCUGGCUCGACCCAUAACGCCGGCUCUGUCUGCCCACCAUGUCCGUUGCCAAAAGCUGGAGAAGCAGCGAGGAGCCAUCACAGAUAUGGGAGUGAUCUGUCCCCGGCCAUUGUCAUGAUCCCUUGGACAUCCUCCUCCUGGGCAUGUGAAUGGAUUUGGAGAUAGUUUGUGAGCAUCUUUUUUUCCUGUUUUUAUAAACUGUUCUCUGUUUUCUACUGAAUCUUCAAACACAGCUUGGGUCUUACCAUUGGCUGUUUCAAGGAUAGUGUUUUCCUGCUUCUGGAGAACUUAAAAAACAGACCAUACUUCUGUUUUUCUGAGAAUUUAGUUCUUCUAUAUAUAAGGAGAUUAAAAACACUUUCUAAAUCUGUAGUCCUUAAGUUUAUCUUCCCUCUUCAGCUUCACCAGGAAGCCAACACGACCCAUGUGCUUCAGGGUGGAGGUAAGAGGUGAGAGGUAAAGUGAAAAGAUUGUUCUGAACUUCGGUGUCUGCCAAGCUUUUCAGUCCCUGAGCCUGGGGGACUGCUACAGUAAUCUAAAAUCAACAGAAGAGAGCCAGGGCCAAGUGCAUGGCAGGAAUCAGGGUCAUGAGUUACAAACUGAUCUGGGAGUGAAAUUAUGAGUCUACAUAAAGCUUUCACAGGGCUUGAUUCCAGGAAAUGAAGGGAAUACAUUUCUAGGGUAGUUAAUUUAAGGUUGGAGCUUUCAGAACUCUAACACCUUUUCGUUUUCCCUACGUGGGGGUUGGGAAUGUGAUGGGCACUCAUCCACAUUAUUUUCUGCUCUGGAGGGAGUUCCCCACUGCAUGUAGUAUUGGGGAGGUGCAGUGGUCUGUGUUGUGUCAAGGGUGAUCCCCCUCUCCCUAGCUCAGACAUCCAGGGUAUGGAGCAGGACCUAGGCUCAGCCGGUCAGCCCCUCCUCUCUGGGAUUUUGAAUAUCAAGGGAGUGAAGCAAAGAUUCAAGGAUAGUCCAGAGGCCACUUGUGGUGACAAUGUUAUGCUGUGGACAGCAGUGGGCAUGCACACUGUCCUGUGGCAUGACCUUGGCUGUGGUCCUUACUGCUCAUUCUCUCUUGACCUCCAGCCCAUUUCCUGAACCUUGUUCUCCAGCCCUCCCGUCCCUCCUGUGAACUAUUCAACAUCCUUCCACUACAUUCCAGCUUAGAUAAAGUUAGGCAGGGCUUGCCUCUGUUGCCUGCAACCAAGGGUUAGAUUAGGCAAUCUGAUGUUCCUGUCUUCAAAUCCGAAGAGAUGUUCCCUCUGCUCCUAGUUGGUCUCUGUUAAGAAUGGUCUGGAAGUAAGCCUGCUAAACCCUUUCACAUAAGAGCCCCUGUAUGGAGAGAUUUUAAGACAAACCUAGAGUCAAGGGUUUGGGGUAUGUUCCCAGAGUGGACACAGCUAACUUAAUAUAGAGAGAAAUUUCAUCAAGUAUUGGCUCUAAAUACUCAACUUUUGCAGGCGUGACUCCCAGGCCACAAAUCUAGGUGGCAAAAGAUACUGAGUUUUUUCAUGGAUUUAAAUCACUGAAUUUCAACUUGACAUUUUCCAAAGCAGCAAGAAGGACAUGUGUUCCUAGGCAGAACUGACUUUCUCUAGAGCCCCUUCACCCCAAGGGUCAUUUGGAAGCCCAGGGUCUCAGAGAGACCAGAUAUGGGGGGAAGCCCUGUGGCCAUCAGUCCCUGAAUUGUACCGGUGACUGCUGAGACACCCAUUGUCGUGGCCGGGGCAGUCCCUUCAGUCGUGCUGGUUGUUUUCUUCCCUGAGGCACUUGAAACAUUGGGAUCUUUGGCAAGGCUGCUGCCUAGGGUUCUGUCUCCUCAGGUGUGCCACGAAGCUGAGCCAUUGAAGAUUUGGUCACCUCCUUGGGGCACUAGUACGGAGAUGGCUCUGGUCCCUGAUGCUGGAGGAAUGCAUAGACCUCUGUCCCUCUCUCUCAUCUCCCAGAAUGUUUUAUGUCUGAUGAACAUUCCACUUUCUUCAGGUUUCCCUUACGGAACCCCCAACCCCAAUAUAUUAAUCAAUGGCUUAAGCUUUUGAAAACAAAAGGCAAGAAGGGACCAUCUCACGGGCAACUUGUGUUUCUGCCCUGCCACAAACCUCCUUUGAGACAAGGAAGUACAGAACCCGAUCUUCACUCAAAUAGGACAAGUGAGAGGAACCACCACACGGUGUGGGAGGGGAAUAAAAACACAUUCAUAGAUUAAAAAAAAGUCUGGCCAAUAACAUUUAAAAUUAAUAAGGGGAAAAAUAAUAUAGAAGUGCUAGAAUGCUAUCAGCUGACAAAUAGAAGGGUUAAUUGGAUUUGUAUUUGGUGUCACUAUCUCCUGUGAUUUCUUAAAGUUUCAUAAGAGAUGCAAUCUCAUUCUGAGCUAUUCUGGUAUGAAUAAUGUCACUCCUUCCUUUCCCACCCCAACUUCUUAGUGUCAGGAAUGAGGAGUGUUUCUUGUCUAUAUUCUGUAAACCAAGUCAGCAACUUGAGCUCUAAUUAAUACAGGACCUCCCCUCCAGCUGGAAGCAAAUAUUUGUGUUACAAAUGAAAUAGUGUGUAAUCCAUAGUCGAGUUUCUUAUUGAGUCCCUGUUCCUGCUUCUUUGAACAGAAUCCACUUACGAUAGGCUUUCCAAUCUUGGGUAGUAAGAUGGCUAAGGGGAAGUAUCUCUGCUGGUAUGAGAGCCUAGUGAUUCACUGAUACAUUUAAAAUAAGCAUAUAUCAAAAUUAAUAACAGAAAUAUCUUAUGAUCCAAUAAUUCUAUACUGCAUA